This 253-nucleotide ribosomal RNA is filed under the name uncultured bacterium. Its description in RNAcentral is "partial 16S ribosomal RNA". It matches the Rfam family "Bacterial small subunit ribosomal RNA", at positions 524 to 776 of the family's 1533-position model. The record is from RNAcentral.
UACGGGGGGGGCAAGCGUUGUUCGGAAUUACUGGGCGUAAAGGGCGCGUAGGCGGCCUUCUAAGUCGGACGUGAAAUCCCUCGGCUUAACCGAGGAACUGCGUCCGAUACUGAAAGGCUUGAAUCCGGGAGAGGGAUGUGGAAUUCCAGGUGUAGCGGUGAAAUGCGUAGAUAUCAGGAGGAACACCUAUAGCGAAGGCAGCUUGCUGGGACGUUACUGACGCUAAGGCGCGAAAGCGUGGGGAGCGAACAGG